Molecule: ribosomal RNA, 567 nt
Filed under: Lasiodiplodia rubropurpurea
Lineage: Eukaryota; Fungi; Ascomycota; Dothideomycetes; Botryosphaeriales; Botryosphaeriaceae
Description: eukaryotic LSU rRNA
Rfam family: 5.8S ribosomal RNA (bases 193-346)
Source: RNAcentral
GGGAAGUAAAAGUCGUAACAAGGUUUCCGUAGGUGAACCUGCGGAAGGAUCAUUACCGAGUUUUCGGGCUUCGGCUCGACUCUCCCACCCUUUGUGAACGUACCUCUGUUGCUUUGGCGGCUUCGGCCGCCAAAGGACCUUCAAACUCCAGUCAGUAAACGCAGACGUCUGAUAAACAAGUUAAUAAACUAAAACUUUCAACAACGGAUCUCUUGGUUCUGGCAUCGAUGAAGAACGCAGCGAAAUGCGAUAAGUAAUGUGAAUUGCAGAAUUCAGUGAAUCAUCGAAUCUUUGAACGCACAUUGCGCCCCUUGGUAUUCCGGGGGGCAUGCCUGUUCGAGCGUCAUUACAACCCUCAAGCUCUGCUUGGAAUUGGGCACCGUCCUCACUGCGGACGCGCCUCAAAGACCUCGGCGGUGGCUGUUCAGCCCUCAAGCGUAGUAGAAUACACCUCGCUUUGGAGCGGUUGGCGUCGCCCGCCGGACGAACCUUCUGAACUUUUCUCAAGGUUGACCUCGGAUCAGGUAGGGAUACCCGCUGAACUUAAGCAUAUCAAUAAGCGGAGGA